RNAcentral lists this ribosomal RNA (468 nucleotides) under uncultured bacterium. Its description in RNAcentral is "partial 16S ribosomal RNA". It matches the Rfam family "Bacterial small subunit ribosomal RNA", at positions 28 to 507 of the family's 1533-position model. The record is from RNAcentral.
GACGAACGCUGGCGGCGUGCUUAACACAUGCAAGUCGAACGGAAAGGCCCUGCUUUUGUGGGGUGCUCGAGUGGCGAACGGGUGAGUAACACGUGAGUAACCUGCCCUUGACUUUGGGAUAACUUCAGGAAACUGGGGCUAAUACCGGAUAGGAGCUCCUGCUGCAUGGUGGGGGUUGGAAAGUUUCGGCGGUUGGGGAUGGACUCGCGGCUUAUCAGCUUGUUGGUGGGGUAGUGGCUUACCAAGGCUUUGAAGGGUAGCCGGCCUGAGAGGGUGACCGGACACAUUGGGACUGAGAUACGGCCCAGACUCCUACGGGAGGCAGCAGUGGGGAAUAUUGCACAAUGGGCGGAAGCCUGAUGCAGCAACGCCGCGUGCGGGAUGACGGCCUUCGGGUUGUAAACCGCUUUCGCCUGUGACGAAGCGUGAGUGACGGUAAUGGGUAAAGAAGCACCGGCUAACUACGUG